Molecule: ribosomal RNA, 257 nt
Filed under: uncultured Holophagae bacterium
Lineage: Bacteria; Pseudomonadati; Acidobacteriota; Holophagae
Description: partial 16S ribosomal RNA
Rfam family: Bacterial small subunit ribosomal RNA
Source: RNAcentral
CUGAGCACUCUAGGGAGACUGCCGGGGAGUAAACUCGGAGGAAGGUGGGGAUGACGUCAAAUCAUCAUGCCCCUUAUGUCCUGGGCUACACACGUGCUACAAUGGCCGGUACAAAGGGUUGGCCAAGCCGUGAGGCGGAGCCAAUCUCAAAAAGACCAACCUACAGUUCGGAUUGCAGUCUGCAACUCGACUGCAUGAAGUUGGAAUCGCUAGUAAUCGCUGAUCAGCAGGCAGCGGUGAAUACGUUCCCGGGCCUU